GACGAACGCUGGCGGCGUGCCUAAUACAUGCAAGUCGAACGCUGAGGAGAGGAGCUUGCUCUUCUUGGAUGAGUUGCGAACGGGUGAGUAACGCGUAGGUAACCUGCCUUGUAGCGGGGGAUAACUAUUGGAAACGAUAGCUAAUACCGCAUAACAAUGGAUGACACAUGUUAUAUAUUUGAAAGGGGCAAUUGCUCCAAUACAAGAAGGACCCGCCUUGUAUUAGCUAGUAGGUGAGGUAAUGGCUUACCUAGGCGACCAUACAUAGGCGACCUUGAAGGGGUGUCGGGCCCACCUGGACUUGGAAACGGCCCAAACUCCUACGGGGAGCAGCAGGAAGGGAACUUCGCGAAAUGGGGGAACGCUUACCGGGCAACGCCGCGGGGGGUAAGGAAGUUUUCGGGUCGUAAAGCUCUGUUGUAAGUCGAAGACGAGUGGUGUAAUGAAAUGUGCACGCUUUGACGGUAGCUUAUCAGAAAGCGACGGCUAACUACGUG
RNAcentral lists this ribosomal RNA (497 nucleotides) under uncultured bacterium. RNAcentral describes it as "partial 16S ribosomal RNA". It matches the Rfam family "Bacterial small subunit ribosomal RNA", at positions 28 to 507 of the family's 1533-position model. The record is from RNAcentral.